AACGUAGGAGGCGAGCGUUAUCCGGAUUCACUGGGCGUAAAGCGCACGUAGGCGGUCGGUUAAGUCGGACGUUAAAGCCCUUGGCUCAACUGGGGGAGGUCGUUCGAUACUGGUCGGCUUGAGGGUGACAGGGGAGAGUGGAAUUCCCGGUGUAGCGGUGGAAUGCGUAGAGAUCGGGAGGAACACCAGUGGCGAAGGCGGCUCUCUGGGUCAUUCCUGACGCUGAGUGUGCGACAGCGUGGGGAGCAAACGGG
RNAcentral lists this ribosomal RNA (254 nucleotides) under uncultured bacterium. RNAcentral describes it as "partial 16S ribosomal RNA". It matches the Rfam family "Bacterial small subunit ribosomal RNA", at positions 524 to 776 of the family's 1533-position model. The record is from RNAcentral.